UACGGGGGGGGCAAGCGUUGUUCGGAAUUACUGGGCGUAAAGGGCUCGUAGGCGGCCAACUAAGUCAGACGUGAAAUCCCUCGGCUUAACCGGGGAACUGCCUCUGAUACUGGAUGGCUUGAGAUUGGGAGAGGGAUGCGGAAUUCCAGGUGUAGCGGUGAAAUGCGUAGAUAUCGUAAGGAAGACCAGUGGCGAAGGCGGGUCUCUGGACAGUUCCUGACGCUGAGGCACGAAGGCCAGGGGAGCAAACGGG
This 253-nucleotide ribosomal RNA is filed under the name uncultured bacterium. Its description in RNAcentral is "partial 16S ribosomal RNA". It matches the Rfam family "Bacterial small subunit ribosomal RNA", at positions 524 to 776 of the family's 1533-position model. The record is from RNAcentral.